CCCUUAGAUGUUCUGGGCCGCACGCGCGCUACACUGAUGUAUUCAACGAGUCUAAAACCUGCUCUGAUAGGGGUGGGUAAUCUUUUGAAUGUGCAUCGUGAUUGGGAUAGAUGAUUGCAAUUUUUCAUCUUCAACGAGGAAUGCCUAGUAAACGCAAGUCAUCAGCUUGCAUUGAUUACGUCCCUGCCCUUUGUACACACCGCCCGUCGCUCCUACCGAUUGAAUGAUCCGAUGAAUAUCAUGGAUUGAGGAUUAUAGCAGGUUCGCCUGUCUUGAUCUUCGAGAAGUGAAGUAAAUCUUAUCAUUUAGAGGAAGGAGAAGUCGUAACAA
This 330-nucleotide ribosomal RNA is filed under the name uncultured eukaryote. RNAcentral's name for it is "partial 18S ribosomal RNA". It matches the Rfam family "Eukaryotic small subunit ribosomal RNA", at positions 1470 to 1797 of the family's 1831-position model. The record is from RNAcentral.